RNAcentral lists this ribosomal RNA (556 nucleotides) under Cryptosporidium parvum. Its description in RNAcentral is "SSU rRNA". It matches the Rfam family "Eukaryotic small subunit ribosomal RNA", at positions 310 to 900 of the family's 1831-position model. Lineage: Eukaryota; Apicomplexa; Conoidasida; Eucoccidiorida; Cryptosporidiidae. The record is from RNAcentral.
ACCUCUCAGCUUCUACGGUAGGGUAUUGGCGGACCGCGGCAACGACGGGUAAUGGGGAGGUAGGGUUGGAUUCUUGAGAGGGAGCAUCAGAAAAGGCUACCACAUCUUAGGAAGGCAGCAGGCGGGCAAAUUACCCAAUCAUAAUACAGGGAGGUAGUGACAAGAAAUAACAACACAGGACUUUUUGGUUUUGUAAUAGGAGUGAGUUAAGUAUAAACCCCCCCACAAGUAUCAACAGGAGGGCAAGUAUUGUGCCAGCAGCCGCGGUAAUUCCAGCUCCUACAGCGUAUAUUAAAGAAGUUGCAGCUAAAAAAAUGGUAGUAGGAUUUCUUUUAAUAAUAAAUAUAAAAUAUUUUGAUGAAUAUUUAUAUAACAUUAACAUAAUUCAUAUUACUAUAUAUUUUAGUAUAUGAAAUUUUACUUUGAGAAAAUUAGAGUGCUUAAAGCAGGCAUAUGCCUUGAAUACUCCAGCAUGGAAUAAUAUUAAAGAUUUUUAUCUUUGAGAUUGGUCCUAAGUAUAAGAAUAAUGACAAUACUCACAGUGGGUCAAUAUCCC